CUGACAGUUUCAAACUGCAGUGAGGAAAUAAGGACGGCCCUGUGCAUUGGCCCAGAGCUUGAGCAACCUGCUGCCUGAUUGGCCCGAGGGCCAGGGGCGGGGCUCCGGAUGGUGGCGACCUGGAGAAGCCGGAAUUAAGUUACUCUGGGAGAGCCCCGCCCCCAGCUCGCGCCGGAUUUGAGGGGGCGGGGUCUUAGGGAGCCCCGCCCAGCGUUUGCGAGGCGGUGCUCAGUUCGAUUCUGAGGUGGCUUAGGGGGCAGAUUUUGUUAACGCCUGCGGAGCAGGGCUGAAGUCAGCUAGGGCGGAUCAAGAUGGUAAUGGGAGUGCCUCAAUCUGGAGAGCAAGUAAUGAGACCCUCCGUCUAUUCCUCGGUCUUUGUCACAGCCUCUCAGGCUGGAAUUUGUUUCUCCAGGUUACAGGUGGCUGACGUAGUAAUUUAA
RNAcentral lists this long non-coding RNA (440 nucleotides) under Sus scrofa (pig). RNAcentral describes it as "lncRNA (ENSSSCG00045000946.1)". Lineage: Eukaryota; Metazoa; Chordata; Mammalia; Artiodactyla; Suidae. The record is from RNAcentral.